GACGAACGCUGGCGGCGUGCCUAAUACAUGCAAGUCGAGCGGACCUUUCGGGGUUAGCGGCGGACGGGUGAGUAACACGUAGGUAACCUGCCUGUAAGAUUGGGAUAACUACCGGAAACGGUAGCUAAGACCGGAUAACUGGUUCUGGCGCAUGCCGAGAUUAUGAAACAUGGAGCAAUCUAUGGCUUACAGAUGGACCUGCGGCGCAUUAGCUAGUUGGUGGGGUAACGGCUCACCAAGGCGACGAUGCGUAGCCGACCUGAGAGGGUGACCGGCCACACUGGGACUGAGACACGGCCCAGACUCCUACGGGAGGCAGCAGUAGGGAAUCUUCCGCAAUGGACGCAAGUCUGACGGAGCAACGCCGCGUGAGUGAUGAAGGUUUUCGGAUCGUAAAGCUCUGUUGCCCUAGACGAAAGCAUGAGGAGUAACUGCCUUGUGUGUGACGGUAUAGGAGAAGAAAGCCCCGGCUAACUACGUGCCAGCAGCC
Molecule: ribosomal RNA, 490 nt
Filed under: uncultured bacterium
Lineage: Bacteria
Description: bacterial SSU rRNA
Rfam family: Bacterial small subunit ribosomal RNA
Source: RNAcentral